AUUGAACGCUGGCGGCAGGCCUAACACAUGCAAGUCGAGCGGAUGAAGGGAGCUUGCUCCUGGAUUCAGCGGCGGACGGGUGAGUAAUGCCUAGGAAUCUGCCUGGUAGUGGGGGAUAACGUCCGGAAACGGGCGCUAAUACCGCAUACGUCCUGAGGGAGAAAGUGGGGGAUCUUCGGACCUCACGCUAUCAGAUGAGCCUAGGUCGGAUUAGCUAGUUGGUGGGGUAAAGGCCUACCAAGGCGACGAUCCGUAACUGGUCUGAGAGGAUGAUCAGUCACACUGGAACUGAGACACGGUCCAGACUCCUACGGGAGGCAGCAGUUGGGAAUAUUGGAAGAUGGGCGGAAGCCUGAUCCAGCCGUGCCGCGUGUGUGAAGAAGGUCUUCGGAUUGUAAAGCACUUUAAGUUGGGAGGAAGGGCAGUAAGUUAAUACCUUGCUGUGUUGACGUUACCAACAGAAUAAGCACCGGCUAACUUCGUG
Molecule: ribosomal RNA, 484 nt
Filed under: uncultured bacterium
Lineage: Bacteria
Description: partial 16S ribosomal RNA
Rfam family: Bacterial small subunit ribosomal RNA
Source: RNAcentral